Molecule: long non-coding RNA, 1417 nt
Filed under: Helianthus annuus (common sunflower)
Lineage: Eukaryota; Viridiplantae; Streptophyta; Magnoliopsida; Asterales; Asteraceae
Description: hypothetical non coding rna
Source: RNAcentral
UCUCAUACCCUCUCUCUCACUAAACUCUUCUCUCUAAUAUCACCAGCAACCAUCCUCCAUCCUAACUCCACCCUUUUCUCCCUUCAAAGCCGCCACCCUCCAUUAAAACCUGAAACUUGACCUCCAAAUAAAAAUCCAAACACUAACCCUAACCGAUCGCCCACCCAAUUACUUGUUGGGAGUCACCUUGAUCAGAUCUGGUUGAAGGGGAGCGGUGGUGGCGAGAAGGAGGGUGAACAACGGGGAUACUCCAACUUGUUCCAGCGAGAUCUGGAGGUGUUCGGACAUAACGACGGGUUGACGGCGGUUGUUCUGGUGGAGACGGAGUGGAUUUGGACACAACGACGGUGGCAAAUCUAGAAGGAGAUCCAUCUUUAGAUCUUAACUAGGGUUGUCAAAAAGCUCGCAGCUCGGAGCUCGCUCGGAUUUAGCUCGGAAAAAGCUCGCUUGGCAUGGCUCGGUUUGAAAGUGAGCCGAGCCAGCUCGGCUCGGCUCGUAACGAGCCGACUUGGCUUGGUUUGGCUCGCUUGGUAACUCAGCUCCGCUUAGUUCGGAUUAUUUUCUUCAUAAUAUAUUUAUUUUUAUAUACAUUAUAAUAUAUUACAAAAAAACCUGUUAUUAUUUAUAUAUAUUUAGGCUUGUAAUUUGAUAUCCAUGGCAUAUUUGAAUCUUAAUUACCUUUGAGUUGUCAAGACGAAAAUGAACUGUUUGAACCCUUUGACGCUCAAGUUAGCAUAUGAUCGUUGUAGAUCUACAAGCAUGUGCCUAUAUGUAGGGUAUAUGAGGGAAUUCGAGGAAUGCUAGAGAUUAGAGAAAGAGAGAGAGAGAGAGGAGAUGGAAAUGAGCUGGUUUGUAAUGCUCAGGUUGGGUCACCCGAGAUGAUGUAAGGCUUGCAUUGGGGAUAUUAGGAGCACUUUGUGAGCAGUUGUCCGACAGAUUCAUCUUAGAGAAGAUGUCGUCUCCCUUGGGUGUUCUUUUUGUUUGAGUCUCGGCCUGAGGCUCUAGUUCAGAUUGCAUCAUUAGCCAUUAAAACUGGAAAUGGGCUCCUACUGAAUGGAGGAAAGGAAGGAAACAGCUCUAACGCAAUCUUGCACAAGAUUAUUACUUCAUGCAUAAAGAGUUGGUAAAGGGUUAAUUGUCCUUGUUACUUCCAGAGACGAGAUUCCCGAAUUGCUCAAGAUGUGGCACGACACAAGAGAAGCUACGGAUAAUGAUAUAGAUUUUUUGUUGAUGAUGUUGCCAAAAUUUUUCUAGUGAGUUAGGUAUUUCGUUAGUUUAGCUUAUAUAAGAUUAUAUGUAGUUUAUUUAUGGAAUUUAAUGUAGUUUGUUAUGCAUUCAACAAAGGAUUGUAAUUUGACGGGUUUGUUUUCGAAUUGAAUGUGUAUUGGGUUGAUUAGAAAAUGUUCGAUUGGUGUAU